RNAcentral lists this transfer RNA (66 nucleotides) under Onomarchus uninotatus. Its description in RNAcentral is "tRNA-Trp". Lineage: Eukaryota; Metazoa; Arthropoda; Insecta; Orthoptera; Tettigoniidae. The record is from RNAcentral.
AAGGUUUUAAGUUAAAUAAACUAGCAGCCUUCAAAGCUGUAAAUAAAUUACUAGAUUUAAGCCUUA